This 843-nucleotide long non-coding RNA is filed under the name Pan troglodytes (chimpanzee). RNAcentral's name for it is "lncRNA (ENSPTRG00000054474.1)". Lineage: Eukaryota; Metazoa; Chordata; Mammalia; Primates; Hominidae. The record is from RNAcentral.
CUCAAUUCCCAUCCAAGUAAAUAUGUGCAUGCCUUUCAUUUAGCUGACUGGCACCCUUCUCUCUGGCUGGCAGCGGAUUAGCACACUGAAUCCCAUCCCUGAGAUGUCCUGGCACACAUCCUGGGCCCCUCUGUGAAGUGUUUGCCAUGGCCUCGAGCCCCUCAGGUUGAGUGCACUUGUCUGCAAAGGGCUGUGUUGUACAGCAACAUGGGACCCACGAAGGAAGCCUUAUGAUUCAUUUUUCAUCUCAUCAUUACUCGCCUUGCCUGUAUGCCAAGGCUGGGAAGCAAUGGGCCAGAGGUUUGUGCUCUGAGCAAUUCUGAAUCAUGUGGAGAAUAUGAAGGAAAAUGAGAAGUUUAAAAAUACUCCAUAGGAAAGAAAUGCCUAAUGAAUGCUUUAUGGCUGAGAAAUGAUGGAGGAAGCGAGUGAGACUGAAGAGAUGAAGAAACUGAGGCACACAGAGAGAGACCCGGACAUGGCAUUCCCAGCAGUACUCAGGCACAAAGGCUUCUGCUCUAGAACUCCCUUCUUCUUACUCCAGAAGUGUUGGAUGAUGCUAUGGGAAACAGAUGAGUUUGUCCAGGGAACCAUGUGGAGUAUGAACAGAAGGAAGGCAAGAAAGGAACUCGUCAAACGGAUCGAAGAUAAGAGAUGGAUGGGCCCGGGACAUCUUCCCCAGUGGCUCUUGUCCACGGGACACCUGGCUUGUACCCACAGAAAGUUGGCUUCCAGCCAUGCUUGAGUGAGAACAGUGAGUGCCCUUGCCUUCCUACAGUGAGUACUCAAUAAAUGAUCACUGCCAUUGUCACAUAAUAAUGUGGCUAUUAUGAUCAUGGACAGAGC